GACGAACGCUGGCGGCGUGCUUAACACAUGCAAGUCGAACGGAAAGGCCCUGCUUUUGUGGGGUGCUCGAGUGGCGAACGGGUGAGUAACACGUGAGUAACCUGCCCUUGACUUUGGGAUAACUUCAGGAAACUGGGGCUAAUACCGGAUAGGAGCUCCUGCUGCAUGGUGGGGGUUGGAAAGUUUCGGCGGUUGGGGAUGGACUCGCGGCUUAUCAGCUUGUUGGUGGGGUAGUGGCUUACCAAGGCUUUGACGGGUAGCCGGCCUGAGAGGGUGACCGGCCACAUUGGGACUGAGAUACGGCCCAGACUCCUACGGGAGGCAGCAGUGGGGAAUAUUGCACAAUGGGCGGAAGCCUGAUGCAGCAACGCCGCGUGCGGGAUGACGGCCUUCGGGUUGUAAACCGCUUUCGCCUGUGACGAAGCGUGAGUGACGGUAAUGGGUAAAGAAGCACCGGCUAACUACGUGCCAGCAGCCGCGGUGAUACGUAGGGUGCGAGCGUUGUCCGGAUUUAUUGGGCGUAAAGGGCUCGUAGGUGGUUGAUCGCGUCGGAAGUGUAAUCUUGGGGCUUAACCCUGAGCGUGCUUUCGAUACGGGUUGACUUGAGGAAGGUAGGGGAGAAUGGAAUUCCUGGUGGAGCGGUGGAAUGCGCAGAUAUCAGGAGGAACACCAGUGGCGAAGGCGGUUCUCUGGGCCUUUCCUGACGCUGAGGAGCGGAAGCGUGGGGAGCGAACAGGCUUAGAUACCCUGGUAGUCCACGCUGUAAACGGUGGGUACUAGGUGUGGGGUCCAUUCCACGGGUUCCGUGCCGUAGCUAACGCUUUAAGUACCCCGCCUGGGGAGUACGGCCGCAAGGCUAAAACUCAAAGGAAUUGACGGGGCCCCGCACAAGCGGCGGAGCACGCGGAUUAAUUCGAUGCAACGCGUAGAACCUUACCUGGGUUUGACAUGGAUCGGGAGUGCUCAGAGAUGGGUGUGCCUCUUUUGGGGUCGGUUCACAGGUGGUGCAUGGCUGUCGUCAGCUCGUGUCGUGAGAUGUUGGGUUAAGUCCCGCAACGAGCGCAACCCUUGUUCACUGUUGCCAGCACGUUAUGGUGGGGACUCAGUGGAGACCGCCGGGGUCAACUCGGAGGAAGGUGGGGAUGACGUCAAGUCAUCAUGCCCCUUAUGUCCAGGGCUUCACGCAUGCUACAAUGGCUGGUACAGAGAGUGGCGAGCCUGUGAGGGUGAGCGAAUCUCGGAAAGCCGGUCUCAGUUCGGAUUGGGGUCUGCAACUCGACCUCAUGAAGUCGGAGUCGCUAGUAAUCGCAGAUCAGCAACGCUGCGGUGAAUACGUUCCCGGGGCUUGUACACACCGCCCGUCAAGUCAUGAAAGUUGGUAACACCCGAAGCCGGUGGCCUAACCGUUGUGGGGGAGCCGUCGAAGGUGGGACUGGUGAUUAGGACU
Molecule: ribosomal RNA, 1447 nt
Filed under: uncultured bacterium
Lineage: Bacteria
Description: partial 16S rRNA
Rfam family: Bacterial small subunit ribosomal RNA
Source: RNAcentral